RNAcentral lists this ribosomal RNA (2731 nucleotides) under Mastophora rosea. Its description in RNAcentral is "eukaryotic LSU rRNA". It matches the Rfam family "Eukaryotic large subunit ribosomal RNA", at positions 51 to 2877 of the family's 3401-position model. The record is from RNAcentral. Lineage: Eukaryota; Rhodophyta; Florideophyceae; Corallinales; Mastophoraceae.
CGGAGGAAAAGAAACUAACCAGGAUUCCCUCAGUAGCGGCGAGCGAAGCGGGAUUAGACCAAGCUGAAAAUCUCCAUGGGAGAAUUGUAGCAUGGGUAUUCUUGGGGUAUUCAGUAAACGUAAGUCGCAUGGAAUUGCGUACCACGGAGGGUGAGAGUCCCGUCCAGCGUUUACAGGAAUUUCCCGUACAAGAAUGCUUCAACCGAGUCGGGUAGCUUGAGAUCGCUGCUCUAAUAGGUGGUAAACUUCAUCUAAGUCUAAAUACUGGUGAGAGACCGAUAGCGAACAAGUACCGUGAGGGAAAGAUGGAAAGCACUUUGAAAAGAGGGUGAAAAGCACUUGAAACCGCCACGGGGGAAGCGGAUUGCGUCAGUGUGGUGCGGUGUCUGUUCAGCUACUUUUUAGGUAGUGUAUUCAGCACUAGCUUUGUCGGUAUGGCUGUUUUACUUUGGAUUUUGCAAAGUGGAAUGGUGAGGGCUCCCUUCGGGUUGAGGAUAUCGACGAAAUGACGCGAUUCGACCCGUCUUGAAACACGGACCAAGGAGUCUAGCACUACUGCGAGUCGAAGGGUGUAAAAACCUAUAGGCGCAGUGAAAGCGAACAUUGAGAAAUCUGAUACAGAUUAAGGAGGUGUUGAGUCAUUGACGAAAUAUCCUACCUAGAGCAGUAGUGCUGGGACCCGAAAGAUGGUGAACUAUGCCGGAAUAGGGCAAAGCCAGAGGAAACUCUGGUGGAGGCUCGUAGCGAUGCUGACGUGCAAAUCGCUCGUCGAAUUUGGGUAUAGGGGCGAAAGACUAAUCGAACCAUCUAGUAGCUGGUUCCCUCCGAAGUUUCUCUCAGGAUAGCGGGCCGACGAUGUGGGUUGUUUUGUGUGGUAAAGCGAAUGAUUAGCGUAUUUGGGGGUGAAAUACCUUCGGUCGAUUCUCAAACUUUAAAUACGCAAGAUAGAGAUGGUUGCUUAAUUGAACCUCUCUACUGAAAACGUCGGCCCUGUGGGCCACUUUUGGUAAGCAGAACUGGCGAUAUGGGAUGAACCAUUAGCGUGGUUAAGGCGUCUAAAUAACCGCUUACAGAUCCCACAAAAGGUGUUGGUUCAUCCAGACAGCAGGACGGUGGCCAUGGAAGUCGGAAUCCGCUAAGGAGUGUGUAACAACUCACCUGCCGAAUGAACUAGCCCUGAAAAUGGAUGACGCUUAAGCGGUUUGCCGACACCACGCCGUUUUGACAAUAUGCGAUCAAAAUGAGUAGGAGGGCGUGGCGGUUUGUUGGGAAGAUUAAGACGCAAGUCUAAUUUGAACAGCCGCUAGUGCAGAUCUUGGUGGUAGUAGCAAAUAUUCAAGCGAGAUCCUUGAAGGGCGAAGCGGGGAAGGGUUCCACGCGAACAUUGAUUGGGCGUGGGUGAGUCGUUCCUAAGCCGGGUGGUAAUCGUUCUUCGAUCGGCGAAAGGGAAGCGGGUUAAAAUUCCCGCACACGGAUGUGAAAGCGGUGACGCAAGUUGAGGUGGAGACGUCAGUGGUGGCGCUAGGCAGAGUUCUCUUUUCUGUUUGACCUGUGAGUGCACGCUGUGGAAACCGAUUAUCGGGAGAAACAGGUGCUAAUGGGCAGAGCGUCGGGGUGUCCCCGGCGUCUAGCACGCCACCAAUGACCCUUGAAAAUCCAUCUGCAAUUACAUUUCACGCCGUGGCGUACCGAUAACCGCAUCAGGUCCCCAAGGUGAACAGCCUCUGCUCAAUAUGAACAAUGCAGGUAAGGGAAGUCGGCAAAAUAGACCCGUAACUUUGGGAAAAGGGUUGGCUCUAGUGGAGUGGGGGAUUUUUAAAUGGGUCUCAGUGUUUGUCGGCUUGCUGGCUAGGAAGGCUAAACUGAGGCAACUUGGUUUUCGGCUGACUCGUGCCGGCGAGUUUGGGGAUAUUGGGCUCCGCCUCCAGCAUACUCUAGACUAGAACUGCAACGGGCAAAGGGAAUCCGACUGUUUAAUUAAAACAAAGCAUUGCGAUGGCCGAGGUCGGUGUAGACGCAAUGUGAUUUCUGCUCAGUGCUCUGAAUGUCAAAGUGAAGAGAUUCAAACAAGCGCGGGUAAACAGCGGGAGUAACUAUGACUCUCUUAAGGUAGCCAAAUGCCUCGUCAUCUAAUUAGUGACGCGCAUGAAUGGAUUAACGAGAUUCCUACUGUCCCUAUCUGCUUCUAGCGAAACCACAGCCGAGGGAACGGGCUCGGCAAAACCGGCGGGGAAAGAAGACCCUGUUGAGCUUGACUCUAUUCUAGCUUUGUGACGCAAGUUAGGAGGUGUAGCAUAGGUGGGAGACUUCGGUCGCCAAUGAAAUACCACUACUCUUAAUCUUGUUUUACUUAUAGCGUAAGACUGCACGACCUUUAUGGUCUAUUCUGGCAUCAACCCAGGUUAUGGCAUACACCGUGUUUACAUGGCAAUGUCUCUGGGAAGCAGCGCGCAAGACACAUUUAGGAGGGGAGUUUGGCUGGGGCGGCACAUCUUCUACAAGACAACGAAGGUGUCCAAAGAUGAGCUCAGUGAGAACAGAAAUCUCACGUAGCGCAAAAGGGUAAAAGCUUGUUUGAUUUUGAUUUUCAGUGUGAGUUAAAAACGCGAAAGCGUGGCCUAUCGAUCCUUUCAAUAUUCGGAGUUUGAAGUGAGAGGUGUCAGAAAAGUUACCACAGGGAUAACUGGCUUGUGGCGGCCAAGCGUUCAUAGCGACGUCGCUUUUUGAUCCU